RNAcentral lists this long non-coding RNA (387 nucleotides) under Androctonus crassicauda. Lineage: Eukaryota; Metazoa; Arthropoda; Arachnida; Scorpiones; Buthidae. The record is from RNAcentral.
GUGUGCUCUUCCGAUCUGAUAAAUCUAAGAAAGUAGUGCUGCUGUAAAGGAAGGUCUUUGAUGAACACCUUUAUAACUAUAUAGCGGAUUUGAAAGUCGAGAUGCUACCUAAAGACAAAACAGACGCCCUGGAUGUAGCAGUGACCAGAAUACUUAAGAAUCGGGCCUUACCUGACUUCCUUAAGGUUAGGAAAAUUCCCAACCCUGCGUUCUGCAGGCUUUUCGCUUAUGCAAAAACACAUAAUGCACUAGUAGCAUUUAGACCUAUAGUAGAGAAAAUAAGAUCACCAAUGUACAAUUUAGAAAAGAAGGUGGCUUCCUGGAUUAACCUGAAAUCCCGAAGGAUAUCAGUACACAGUGCCCUCCUCCAUAGAAUUUUUAAAUAGG